GGAAUGUGGAGACCAGUGCAGUGGAGCCCACCACUCUGGUUAGGUGGGGGGAACCUUGGCUUUCGGACCCAGACAGCUGAGAGAGGGAAAAGCCGUGGAAACACACCCGGAUUGAAAUGCCCCUGGCCCGCCUGACCCGACCCCAGGAGAAGCAGCCGAGUUACCCGACAUCGUGGUCAGCAGGAGCUGGGUCGGUGGCUGGAUGCUGCAGCUGCAGGGACUCAGCGCCUGGGAGGGCUCCUGGGGCAGGGAGAGAAGCAGAGAUGCAACAUUUUUAAAGUUUCACAAAGCAUCCGGCUGCACCCAGGUCCCUGGAACAGGAGACAAACAGAAUUAAUGUUUUAUACCUUCGGGUAUAGGAUUGAGUUUUUUCCCCCUCAUGCCAAGUAUUUAAAACCUCUAGAAACCCAUGAUUUGACAAUCAAUGAUUGCGCGAUACUUUCAAUUUGAAUAUUCAAAGGCUUAACAAAAUGGACUAUCUUCUGCAGAAAUCCUGCACACAGGCACCCCGCAGAGAGUCCAGAGAAACAGGGAGUGAGACCCCUUUGGAUCCUGGCCCUUGCUUUUAUUAUAUUUUGAGCAUUUUGUCCUCCUUCCCACAGACAGAGCAGAUGUCCUCAAAGAUGCUCUGUAUUUCAGCCUUCAGGGCAGCUAGGGAGCCAUGAGUGACUUAGGCUGCCCUGGCCAUGAACACCAGAGCCAGACUGGCUGGCCCGACUGAUUCCCGCAUCCCCCAUCUGUGUUUUGAGGGGAAAUCUCAGGUUUUGAGGAAUGAACAUGGCAGCUAGUGGGUGUGGCACAGCAAGAAGUCGCUCUGGGCCCAGGUGGCAGGCCAGCGGCCUAGCAGAGGCCUUCGCUGUGCACCUCCUAUUUUUCUGGCUCCGCCUGGCUACCAGCGGGCUUCCCUCCCCCUUUCAUCCCGCUCUUCCUGGGCCCGACACUGGGGUUUCUGCUCAGAAUGACUGCCCAUUAAGACCCUUUGCUCCUGCCCACAGAGCUGGGGAUGUCUCAUCCUCUGGAGACUUUCUGACUCUGGAUUUCACUACUGCACUGUGAAGUGCCCUCUUUGCUUUUUCUCCCUCUAGAGCCACCCCUGCCUUUUUGCUGUAGGAGCACAUGUUAGGAAACAGUGACAAGUUUGGCUCCUGCUCAUUUUAACUGAAAGGACGUGGACUUAGGUUCAAGCCUUCUCCCGCUGGGGUGAGAAGGGGGAGGGACUUGGGAUCAGGCUUCCCCCUUGGUCCAGGGCCAAGCCCCUCACUAAUGACUUGGGAUUCUACUGGGUCAUCUUCUGUGAGUACUUACUGUGCCUCUUCCAUGUGAUUUGGAAGGUGAGGAGACAGGAAUGGUCCACAGAGGGAGAGAGUGCCAGGCCAAAUCCUCUCAUAGCCACCCACCCCCUCCACAGAAGGGGACAGCAAGAGAAGACAGACAGACACGGUGGGGUUCCUUUUGCAAAUAACCAAGAUAUUUCCAGGAUUCAGGACCAGGCCACGGUUUUAGGCCUCUGCUCUUUGUUCUCUGAGUUCUCAGAAAUGCAAAAAGUGUAAUUUAGCCCCAAAGGCCUCUAGAAAAAGAUUGGGGUGCCCCCACAUGUGUCAAAUACAGAAUGAGACACACAGAGCUUAGGGAAAGGGCAACUGAGAAUGACAAGACUGAUAGGAAUUGCUUGGCAGCUGAAGCCACAUCUCUGGGGGAGAGGAGCAGGCCUGGGAACACCUGAGGUGGCACCUGGCAGUGGAGGGCAGGAUGGAUGUAUUGAAAUCUGACAGCUUCUGGAGCUUCUUUCUACAAAUGCCCCUGAGCCUGUGUCCUAGGUUUCCCUGAUGGACCAGACCUGAGGAGGGGAAGGACAAUGGGAGUGGAGAUAGCACCUCCCCUCCCUGCAUACCUUCUUCCCCGCUGUGCCUAGGCAUCACCCCCUCUGAAGGAACAGUGAACCAAGCAGCUUGGAAUCUAGGGAUGGUCUCUUGUCCUCAUAGCGUCUUCCAUUACUUCUUUUCUUUGCUGCUCUCCUCCUUUUUGUUGUACUCUUAUUUUUUGAUUUGCUUUUAAAAACCUUCUUUUUUGUUGCAUUUUUGUUUAUUUCUUUCCGUGUUUCUUUGUCUCUCUUCCUGUUAUUGCUUUCUUCCAUUUCUUGUUUGCACUACUGGUUUUCUCCCUGGCUUCACGUGUCUCUGUGUUCCCCUGUGCUGGAGUGUCCUCCCAAUGCUUUCAGGCUUCAUCUCCUUCCUAACCUCUCCUUUCAUGUGGAGAUGGACAGGAAUGGCAGGAGCAUUGAGUGCUCUUGGCAACACCAUUGAAGAUGGUGUUGACGAUCAGCUACCCUGUGGAGAAGGCAGGCCAGGCUGGGUGAGAGGGGAGCUCCUUGGAAGUCAGGGGGUCUGUAAGGACAGCAAGGAUCUCUUUGUCCCAACUUCCAGAAGCCUUUGUGGGUGCUUCUGUGUUGGCCUUGUUUCUGGAAUGGCCAUCUCAGUGCUGUUGCUGGCUAGCAAUUUCAGAAAACUAGAUUUGUCUAGGCCUGAGCCGUGUUUUGAGAAAGAAGCUUCCCUCUGGUUUGUAGCCCAACAUUAAUGAGUUUUGAUUCUUGUUGUUUCUAUAAUUACAAAACCACUAGCACAGGUAUUUAAGAGCCAAAUGCCAUGCUUGUGGAAGUAAAGAAGGAAUCUUUCUAAAUGGAUCCUGCAAAUCCUCCUUACAGAUCUGAGUGGUUGAUCAGACCCAGAGCAACCCUGAGAUCCCAGGUACCCACAGCAUUGGCUAUUCUUCAUAGGUGACUCAGAGAAGGCUUCAUAGGAGACUCAUUGUUGUUUACUGGACAUCAGGUGCUAUAUUGUAUAGCAUUCACAUUCCACAGGUGAGGAAACAGGCUCAGAGGAAUAAGUGGCAUGCCAAGAUCAUCGAGCAUAUCAGUAGCAGAAUUAGGAUUCAGACUUUCAUAGGUCUAACUCCAAAGCCCUGGGUUUUUUUUUUUUUUUUUUUUUUUUUUGAGAUGAAAUCUCACUCUGUCCCCAGGCUGGAGUGCAGUGGCAUGAUCUGAGCUCACUGCAACCUCUGCCUCCUGGGUUCAAGUGAUUCCCCUGCCUCAGCCUCCUGAGUAGCUGGGACUACAGGAUGCACCACCACGCCCAGCUAGUUUUUGUAUUUUUAGUAGAGAGGAGGUUUCACCAUGUUGGCCAGGAUGGUCUCCAUCUUUUGACCUCAUGAUCUGCCUGCCUCGGCCUCCCAAAGUGCUGGGAUUACAGGCAUGAGCCACCACACCUGGCCUUUGCUCUUAACUACUGAUGUUGUCUUCCUGAUCUUUUCUACCAGAAGCUUUUAAACUUUUUGGACUUUAGCCUACAAUAAGAAAUCUGUUUUACAUGUUCACAUGUAUCUAUAGCAACAUUUAUAUUUCUAAAACAAACUUUUCAUGAAACAACAUAUACCUACGUAUGUGAGGCACUCUGAUAUUUUCUAUUCUAGUCCACCUUUGCCAUUUCAUUAUAUUUAUGGAAAAUAUAUGUUGGUUGGGAGUCGCUAAGUUAAUUUAAUGACCCACUAAUAGGCUGUGAGUGGCAUUGGAAAAAUACCUGCUUGUAAGAUAUGCGAACACACGUUUCAAGGUUGUUUGUGCAUGUGGAAAUAUUUUGGGGUGCUAUCUGUUUUACCAUCAGUUUGUACAAGGACACUAAGACAGUGUAGCCUGCUGACUUGAGAAUGUUCUGUAAGGACUGGAAACACUAGAACCUUGAAGAAAUGCCUGGCUAGAGGUGAGGGUAAGCUGUUAAUUACACUGAUUACAGUUUGUGCCUCUCAGACUGAGAACUCUUCCUUCUUGCUAGGGGCAUUUCUACCUCUAGGAUGUUUGCCCUGAAGUCCUGAUAGUCUCUUUGGGGUUUUAAUAAAUGGCUGAAAAAAUUGUUGUGGGGUUUCAACAGGCGUUCAUAGGCAUCCUUGCUUGGCAAUAUAACAUGGCUUUUGAUGUUUGGGUGUUGGAAGGGAUCUUUGAAGGGCUGAGAGGGACUCAGAGUCUUUUUCCAAAAUCUCUGCUUGUGUCUGUCCAGCCUCUAGCUCCACUGCUUGGCUGAGAUCCUGGGUCACAGUAGAAUCUGUGUAGAGGAAAUGAGAGCUCACUAUUUGUGAGGCAGCCUGUUCCACUAUUGGACUGCUUUAAAUGUAGUGACCAGUGAUUAUGCUAUAAUCCAAUCAUGUAUUUGGGCACCAACUAUGCACUAGGCAUGGUAUCAAGUACCAGGAGUACAAAAAUUAGUAAACUUUGAUUUCUGCUAUCAAUUUCUCUCUUCUCCUACUUCUGUACUACUGCUUUUCUAUUGUGAGUUUGUUUAGUUCAUUAAUUGGUUCAUUCAUUCAUUCAACAAUCAUACACUGAUUAGCUACUCUGACCAGGUCCAGUACUAAGUCUAAAGAAGUUAUGCCCAUCCCAUCUCCACCCCAAGCCUUCUCCUUUUGAGACUCCUCAUCCAGUUUCUCUAGUUCUUCACAUGUCACUGUUUUUCAGAUCUCUGGCUAUCCUUGCCAUUGACCUCAGAAAUCCUGUAUUUGACCUUGACCUUCUUAUACCCAGUCUGUACCCAAAGUGAUGGGAAUGGAAUAGAUUUCUUUUUAAAAUUUUAAACUGAAUAUUUUGACUGAAAAAUUUUGGCAGUCUUUUGUAUGCAAAUGACACCGCAGAGCAUUGUUUUCUUCCCCCACGUAGGAGAUUUCAUUCAACUUAGGCACAGGCAUAUUAAAAGACUUUUAGUAUAAGGAAAAGGGAUAGUUUAUUCCCUCCAAAUUUGACUACAGCUUGAAAUUGUCUUUAUUAAUGCAAAGUUCUUUUGUCACCUUGACUUUGGGACACUGUUACCAAACCUUGUGGGAAAUAUCAAGUUCCAGAAGAUUGAAUACAUGUAGGAAACGAAUGUUUUUUGGGCCCUAGAGUGAACAUUUGGUCCAUAUGAAAAUGACCAGGAAGACAAUUAGGUGAAGGUUUUUUAAUGAUUUGUGCUACGUCAGUCUCUUCCCAUAAGACAUAUUCAAAGUUUUAACUUUUCUUUAAGCGGCUUCCAUGGGAGCAAGCAUUUGGUAAUUCAUCCUUUAACUAAGAAAAACACCACUGUACACUGCUUGAAGAGUUCCUCUCCUAUUACUUAAAACGUUUUUAUUGUGCAACAUUUAAGGCAUACAAAAACAUAUAAAGAAUACCAUGAUGAAAAUCUAUGACUAUAUUAUCAAGCUUAAGAAAUAAAACAGUUGAGUGAUCUUUCAUUUAUGAUUAAAUUAACUUAUUAAAACCAUUAAAACUUUUGGAUGAUUCUUGUUAA
RNAcentral lists this non-coding RNA (5306 nucleotides) under Pongo abelii (Sumatran orangutan). Lineage: Eukaryota; Metazoa; Chordata; Mammalia; Primates; Hominidae. The record is from RNAcentral.